UGAACUCAACACAGCCAUCAACUGCA
This 26-nucleotide non-coding RNA is filed under the name Homo sapiens (human). RNAcentral also lists the same sequence under 2 other names. The record is from RNAcentral. Lineage: Eukaryota; Metazoa; Chordata; Mammalia; Primates; Hominidae.